UACGUAGGGUGCAAGCGUUGUCCGGAAUUAUUGGGCGUAAAGAGCUCGUAGGCGGUUUGUCGCGUCUGCUGUGAAAACUCGGGGCUUAACUCCGGGCCUGCAGUGGGUACGGGCAGACUAGAGUGCGGUAGGGGAGACUGGAAUUCCUGGUGUAGCGGUGAAAUGCGCAGAUAUCAGGAGGAACACCGGUGGCGAAGGCGGGUCUCUGGGCCGUAACUGACGCUGCGGAGCGAAAGCGUGGGGAGCGAACAGG
RNAcentral lists this ribosomal RNA (253 nucleotides) under uncultured bacterium. RNAcentral's name for it is "partial 16S ribosomal RNA". It matches the Rfam family "Bacterial small subunit ribosomal RNA", at positions 524 to 776 of the family's 1533-position model. The record is from RNAcentral.